Molecule: ribosomal RNA, 282 nt
Filed under: uncultured bacterium
Lineage: Bacteria
Description: partial 16S ribosomal RNA
Rfam family: Bacterial small subunit ribosomal RNA
Source: RNAcentral
UUUCCUACGGGAGGCAGUAGUGAGGAAUAUUGGUCAAUGGACGCAAGUCUGAACCAGCCAUGCCGCGUGCAGGAAGACGGCUCUAUGAGUUGUAAACUGCUUUUGUACGAGGGUAAACGCAGAUACGUGUAUCUGUCUGAAAGUAUCGUAUGAAUAAGCAUCGGCUAACUCCGUGCCAGCAGCCGCGGUAAUACGGAGGAUGCGAGCGUUAUCCGGUUUUAUUGGGUUUAAAGGGUGCGUAGGCGGUUUUUUAAUUUAGUGGUUAAACGUCGGGGCUUCACC